Molecule: ribosomal RNA, 372 nt
Filed under: uncultured eukaryote
Lineage: Eukaryota
Description: partial 18S ribosomal RNA
Rfam family: Eukaryotic small subunit ribosomal RNA
Source: RNAcentral
CAAUAGCGUAUAUUAAAGUUGUUGCAGUUAAAAAGCUCGUAGUUGAAUUUCUGGUUGAUGCUAGACUUGGCUCUUGUCGGUUUAGUGUCAAUCAUCCGUUUACAAACUUUUUCCGGCCUUCACUGGUACGACUAAGGGAGUAAACAAUUUACCUUGAAAAAAUUAGAGUGUUUCAGGCAGGCAUUAGCUUGAAUACAUUAGCAUGGAAUAAUGGAAUAGGUCUUUUAACUAUUUUGUUGGUUAUUAGUUGAGAGAAAUGAUUAAUAGGAUCAGUGUUUGGGGGCAUUAGUAUUUAAUUGUCAGAGGUGAAAUUCUUGGAUUUAUUAAAGACUAACUUAUGCGAAAGCAUUUGCCAAGGAUGUUUUCAUUAAC